CACGCCGUCCGGCGACGAUUCGAACCCGGCAUAGCUCGUCGCGAGCAACGCCUUGGCACGCGCGAUCGGCGCCGGAUCCCAGCCGGGCGACGCCAAUUUGUCGGCGAACAGCCGGAGCUGGUCCUGAUAAUCGGCGGGCGACGACACCGCGCCGAGCACGAACGCGUCCUCAUCAAUGCCGAAGUCCAUGCCCAGCAGCCGCCGCGGUAAC
Molecule: ribosomal RNA, 211 nt
Filed under: uncultured bacterium
Lineage: Bacteria
Description: partial 16S ribosomal RNA
Source: RNAcentral